AAAAAAUAUUGAAAUAAUACCAAGAAUUUGUCAAAAAAUAAGCAAAAAGCUUACCUUAAACACCGUUGAUGUCGUUGAAUAAACGUACUCGAUCAAACCGCUCUGAAGCUAAAUCUCACUAGCAAAGACUCUAGUAAACAAUAACACUAAAGAAUACUAGCAAAAGCCGUAGAAGCAAAACACGUUUGAUAACAGCGAGAGCCGAAACCAAAGUGCCAGUUCUCCUCGCUUGCAUUUACAGCAAAACUUCGACGAAGGGUGAGGGACGGGGUCUUUUAGAAAUAGUCAAUUCGUUUUUUUACCUGCGUAUACGCAUUGUCUAUAAAUGGUCAUAAAUUCCUACAAUCCUAAUUGUUAUCAGCGAGUAUUAUAAAACAGCUUUAAUGUAUUAUGACUAAGAUAAAUAAUAGUUUUAAGAUAAGGCAAAAUAAUAGUUGAAUAGUUACAAAAAAAGUUUAUUGUUUUUGUUAUUAGUUCCAAUCCUUCUCAGAAAAAAAUAUGCAGUUUGUCGCAUUUGACUAUGACUACGAUAGGCAAGACAAUAGGUAGAAAGCUAUAAAAAACUUAAUACUAAUUUAUUGUUUAUUGAUUUGUUUCGGUCAUACAAAAAAAAAAAUGUAUAGUUUAUUGUUAAAGGCCUAUUUUAUUUUUCAAGAAAGUCAAGACAGUCACAGUGAGACAUGCAUCACAUUUAUGUUUACUACAACAAUAGUUACUAGAAUCUUACUCGAAAACUUUUGAUCGCUAAGAAAGUCUUUAAGCUUGGGAGCAGUAGUUUUUAAAGUAUCUAAAUAAUGUCAAUAUUAAUACUUUUACAACAAAUAAAGAGUUUUUGGAACUUAGAGCUUUUGAAUAUUAAUAUUCUAAGAUCUUUUAUUGGUGACAUUUUCAUAAAUAUAUUUUCUACUUCUACAAAGAUUCUCUAAUUGGAAAAUUAUACGAAACAUCUUUUGACGAAAAUAUUUAAUAACUGUACGUAACGAGCAAACAUUACCACGUCUACUUACGAAUUCAUCAAUUAUCAUAUUAAAUCAGUAGUAUUUUAUUAAUGUUAAAGCAGACUGAUACUUGCGACGCGUAGAACUGAAACUACAGGCGACCGACACGAUGUAAUAACCGAAAGACGUAGGAAAUAUUGUUCCAGCGCACAGUUGAUUUUAAAACUAAAUAUAAAAGAUACGAUUUAAGAUGAGUUGCUAACUUUGAAUAAAUUAGAAAAAAGAAAUUAUGCGUAUUGCAAGAUAUUUUGUUGGCUUCGAAAAAAAUAAUUUACCUAACAAAUACAGAUUAAAUUUAAAAAAAUCAGUCUUGUUCAUAACUAGAAAUUAUAUUAUAUUUUAUGGUUAAUUCUAUGUAACUAAAUUCGUGCUCAUAAUAUUGAAAAAAAAUAGCUUAAAUGUAAUAGAAUCAAUUCUGUCCAAAACUAUAGAAAUAACAUUUCUUAAACUGAUCAUAAAACUAAACUCAAUGCUCGUAAUGUUUUCAACACACAAAGUAUAGUUUAAAUUCUAAAGAAUUAAUUCUGUACAAAACCCUUGAAAUAAUAUUUUUAAACAGAUCGUAAAACUAAACAUAAUGUUCGUAAUAUUAAAAAAAUAAGACAAUUUCGUAAUAUCAAAGAUUCGUUAAAAAUAUAAAAACUAAACUCAAUCCAUCUAACAUUGUUAAAAAAUAUUGAAAUAAUACCAAGAAUUUGUCAAAAAAUAAGCAAAAAGCUUACCUUAAACACCGUUGAUGUCGUUGAAUAAACGUACUCGAUCAAACCGCUCUGAAGCUAAAUCUCACUAGCAAAGACUCUAGUAAACAAUAACACUAAAGAAUACUAGCAAAAGCCGUAGAAGCAAAACACGUUUGAUAACAGCGAGAGCCGAAACCAAAGUGCCAGUUCUCCUCGCUUGCAUUUACAGCAAAACUUCGACGAAGGGUGAGGGACGGGGUCUUUUAGAAAUGGCCAAUCGUUUUUUUACCUGCGUAUACGCAUUGUCUACAAAAGGUCGGAAAUUUGUGUUUGCUGUUUACUAAUUGCUAUUGUUUAUUAUUGUUAAAACAGGUUUAAAGUAUUCUGCUUAAGAUAACCAAGACAAUAGUUGAAUAGUUAUUAGAAAGUUUAUAAUAUGUAAUUAGUUCCGAGACGAGAAAAAAAAAUAUAGUUGGUUGUUAUAGGCUUAAUGUUUUUUUUUAAUGAAUAAUAGUUAAAUAAGGUACCUAGGUACCUAUUAGUAACUAUACCCUGUAUAUUUCGCAAAAGAUAGACUAUAGUUAAAUCUAUAAUAUUCUAAUAAGCCAGAGGCGGCUCGUUACAUUUUUUGAUGGGGGUUCUCGAACAAAAAAAAAAAAAAAAACGAAAAACUAUAGCUUAAGAGAGAGCUAGAAAAUAAAUGUAUUUUAUUUGUAUAGA
Molecule: unclassified non-coding RNA, 2398 nt
Filed under: Melitaea cinxia (Glanville fritillary)
Lineage: Eukaryota; Metazoa; Arthropoda; Insecta; Lepidoptera; Nymphalidae
Description: misc RNA ENSMCXG00005015756.1
Source: RNAcentral